Long non-coding RNA from Spinacia oleracea (spinach), 3336 nucleotides. RefSeq lists it as uncharacterized. The transcript has 5 exons. The record is from RefSeq and is a predicted model, not a curated record. Lineage: Eukaryota; Viridiplantae; Streptophyta; Magnoliopsida; Caryophyllales; Amaranthaceae.
UUUUUUCUAUGAGCCUAUGAGCGCUAAAACUAAAAACUGUUCACGACUUCACGUACUCUAUCUCUCGCUAACCCUAAUUAGCUGAAACACCAAAAGAACCGCAUCGUACCUCUCCUCUCUACAAAUUCGAAACCGUUCUGCUCUCUGCCAAUCUGCCAUUGAUAUUCAUCAAGGUUUGUCUUUAAUUUUAAACUUGAGCCUUUUUCAUCUUCAACCUUCUCAAUUUAAACUUCUUUUUCCCCCGAAAAUCUCUCAAAUAUGGUGGUAAUCGAACAAUGAAACGACGAACCUGCUGCAGCACCAGAGAUCAACCACAAGAAACUCAAUUUAGAACCUGAAACGAGUUCCGUCAACAACAAAGAAGAAACGGAUGGUUUCGAAACGGCUAGCGAAGGCGAUCAUUCUGAUAGAGGUACCGACUUUGGCGACGACGAACAACAACAACAAGAAAAAUUUGCGCCAUUGACGGCUGUUAAGGAUGAUUCUUAUGAAGAUGCUCUUGAUGAUGAUCAAUUGAAACAGGGAAAGUAUGAUGAGACAGUCAAGGAAUGUUCAAAAGCUAUAGAACUAAAUCCAGCAUAUGUCAAAGCUCUUCUCAGGAGAGGAGAGGCUUAUGAAAAGCUUGAACGAUAUGAAGAGGCCAUCUCUGAUAUGAAAAAAUAUUGGAAGUGGAAGCUUCAAAUGAGCAGGCUAGGAGGAACAUUGUUCGAAUGGAGCCAUUAGCCCGAGAAAAGGCGGAAAAGAUGAAGGAAGAAAUGAUUGGUAACCUUUUUCUUCUUCACACUUCCGCUGAUCCUCUCCUGUAUCUUCACUCUCCUUUGUGAUUAGUUUCUCACUGUGUAGUCUUGCGCGUUGGUAUUAUGCUUCUUCCCUUUUUAAAUGGCUUGCUUUAUGGAUGUUGAUUUAUACUGUACAUGAUUUUGUCUAUACUGAGGUUUGUGUGCAAAACAAGUCAGAUGCUAAAUUUGUUCUGAAAUUUCCCCCUUAUUUAAAGUUAAAGCCAAAUUUUGACUUUCAUUAUGGCCAGCAGCUGAAUGUGAAGUUUGGAAUGCUGUAGGAAAUUAAAUUGAUAAUAAUGUUCAUGGAAAAUAAACAUGUGUUGGUCAACCAAGACUAAGCUUGGCAUGACAGUUGUAGUUGUGAGUUAAGGAAUAAGGAUGCUUAUCAUGAAAAGCUUCAAAUUUGAUGAUGAUGAAGCACUACUACAAAAUACACCAUUUGUCGACACCAAGUCCUCGACGCUGAGGGAGAACCGUUAGCAUUAAAUUGUUGUUUGCAUGUUUUCUCGACGCCUUCCUGCGUCUUCCUAUUUUCCCGUCUACUAUAGGUGUCGAGAUACUACUAGGAAAGCACAUGCCCCGCACGUGGUCAUAUUUAGGUGCCCGUUUUCUUUUUCUGUGAGAGCAGUCCCAUUCCCCGUCCCCGUUCUCCUCAACCCUAACCUCAUAACCUUCUCUUUCUCUAUCACUUUGAAAAUUCCAGAUCUACAUUUCUAAGCCCCUUACAAUCAAUUUCCUUCUUUCUUUUGAUUUAGUUGACGGAUCUCAUAGUUGAACAAGCUUUCAGAGAUUGAUUCUCCCAUGGCGGAGCUUUCCAUUUCCGUCUUUCAUCAUGGUCUCAUGGUGGUCAGGUUUAUCCAUUUCCAGCAUGUUCUUUUAGUGCUAAAAUUUUGCCUGGAGCAUGUUUUUAUAGACAGAUUUCUCUAAACCAAAUAGAUUUAGGAUCUGAUAUAUGUUGCGAUAAGAAACUAAAUCCAAGCUAAUUGUUGAAUAAUGGCUUAGCAACUUGAAAAAGGAAGAGCAUGCAACUCCUUUAGCCUAUGAAUUUCCUGUUUUUGAAGCGAAUACUUCUGUCUGGCAUAUUUUCUGUUCAUUGGUGUGGCAGUAAUCUUUUUGUUCAUGUGAUUCAUUGGUGAUGUGACGUUUUCUGUAUUUUUCUGUUGUUACUCUUGAAAUUCGGAGGUGGUUUCUUUUUUGAAUUGGAAUAACUUGUAGUUCGUGGUGUGGUGAUGUGAUAUACUUCGUAAUAAUCUAGCUGGAUUUGGUACUUUUGCUGAUAUUCAAAGUUUAAGUGAGUUAGACAUGACACUCUUUUAUCACCGUCAACAUUUUCUAAAUUAAACCAACUUGAUUUGGUAUUGUUUUGUCUGAGUUUAAUAUCAACUCGUGUUCAUUUUUUACUAAAUGUUAAUGUUGAAUUUUAGUAAUAUGGAAGCUUUGUUUUGUAUUUGUUGUUGCUAAGUGCUAACUAAACUGUUAAUUGCAGGACAUUGGUGAUGGAGUUUAUAUUCUAAUAGAAAAAGUCGCUAGAAAGAGUACUGGACUGGCCCUUCCCUGACCCUAUCCUUUCUGUUUACCGAUAUUUUUCUCAAUUUGAAAGUGAAAGGAGUAUUUCUCGUUGCUGAUACUGAAAGUAGAUAAAAUACUAUGAGUUAUUUCUUUUGUGGUGCAGUGUGAUAAUAAUUCUUACUUAUCUGAUCAAGAAGCGCUGCAUGACUAUAUCUCAAGCUCUUGAAUACGUGAGAAGCAAAAGAUCGCAGGCAUCCCCUGAUUCUGGCUUAAUAAAGCAGCUCCGACAGUAUGAACAAUCACUAGGAGAUCAUCUCUUUUGCUUCGCUUAUCAGAUACAAAGACACAAGGAUCAACCAGUCAGGUUGGUUAUCUGACUAUACAGUAACAAAACUAAGUGCAAUUUUGAGACAAUAGCAUAACAUUCCUGCUCAUGGCAUCGUUGCCACCAAAUACAGGGUAUGUAUUUCAGGCUGUGAGAAAUGUAGGUGUAAAAGUCGUUGUCUCAAACUUCGAUACUCGAUUAAGACCUCUGUUGAGGGUUCUGAAUUGUGAACAUUGGUUUGAUGUUAUGAUCGUUUCAGCAAAACUAACUGGCUAUCAGUCGGAUUUUACUUGGAAAUGUCUGUACAUUAUUGAGUUUGAACUGGAUUUCUCUAACGGGUUGCUGCUGAGAAGCCAAAUCCAACAAUAUUUCUGAAGGCGUGUGAUCUUCUGGGUGUAAAGCCAGUGGAUGAUGUUCAUGUUGGUGAGAUCGUAGAAACGAUGUAUGGGGCGCAAGGGUUACAGGCUUCAUGUUAUUUAGCGUGUGACAAGGAUGAUAUGCGGCAACUCCAGAUUUGCAAAUAGAGAGAGUGCUAGAAUCUGCAAAUUUAGAUGUUUUAAUGCAAUAUGUGGCUUAUUUGCCUUUCUAUUUAAUUUAUUAUUUAUUUUAGCAGCCAAUAAUGGUCAAUAUGUCAAUAUUGAAACAAACGUUGUAAGUUAUGUAGCACGUUCUCAUACAUUGUAACAUACACCAUAUAUAAAUAUAUGAUUUCACUUUUUAAAA